GAUGAACGCUGGCGGCGUGCUUAACACAUGCAAGUCGAACGAUGAAGCCCAGCUUGCUGGGUGGAUUAGUGGCGAACGGGUGAGUAACACGUGAGUAACCUGCCCUUAACUCUGGGAUAAGCCUGGGAAACUGGGUCUAAUACCGGAUAGGAGCGUCCACCGCAUGGUGGGUGUUGGAAAGAUUUAUCGGUUUUGGAUGGACUCGCGGCCUAUCAGCUUGUUGGUGAGGUAAUGGCUCACCAAGGCGACGACGGGUAGCCGGCCUGAGAGGGUGACCGGCCACGAGGGGUACGGGAGGCGGCCGAGGCUAAUGCGGGAGGAAGGGGGGGGGAAUAAUGCACAAGGGGCGCGAGCGUGAAGAAGGGACGCGGGGGGGGGAAUGACGGCCUUCGGGGUGAAAACCUUUUUCAGUAGGGAAGAAGGGAAAGUCGGGAUCCGAGGAAAAGGAGCCCCGGAAAAAUACG
RNAcentral lists this ribosomal RNA (464 nucleotides) under uncultured bacterium. RNAcentral describes it as "partial 16S ribosomal RNA". It matches the Rfam family "Bacterial small subunit ribosomal RNA", at positions 28 to 505 of the family's 1533-position model. The record is from RNAcentral.